This 253-nucleotide ribosomal RNA is filed under the name uncultured bacterium. Its description in RNAcentral is "partial 16S ribosomal RNA". It matches the Rfam family "Bacterial small subunit ribosomal RNA", at positions 524 to 776 of the family's 1533-position model. The record is from RNAcentral.
UACGUAGGGUCCAAGCGUUAUCCGGAAUCACUGGGCGUAAAGCGUGCGUAGGUGGCGCGUUAAGUGAGAUGUUAAAUCGUGUGGCUCAACCAUAUCGAUGUAUCUCAUACUGGCGUGCUAGAGGACAGCAGAGGCAAGUGGAAUUGGUAGUGUAGCAGUGAAAUGCGUAGAUAUUACCAGGAACACCAAUGGCGAAGGCAGCUUGCUGGGCUACUCCUGACACUGAGGUACGAAAGCGUGGGGAGCGAACAGG